GUGACACAAAAACCAAGAUUUUCAGCGGAACACUCUCAAAACAACACCGGGCUUUAGCAGCGUGAGGCAAACAAGAAAUGUGACGUGAACUUCGAGGAUAAGCUCAUUCUGGCUGUGCCUGGACAGAGGGCCUAUCAGGACCGAUCCUCAUGUUGGAAGCAGAUGGCUGGUGCUGCUCGCAGUCGCAUCUCUCUCCCACACCAGGCUCUCUGGUUUCUCUGAUCGGCCCAGUGUGAGCUCCACAGCGUGCUGAGUAGAAAAAAAAAAUUAGUUUAAGACCCACGAAUGGAACAAAAGAGAUGUUUAUUGAAGGCUGUGCUCUCCAUGAAACCUUCACACUGCAGGGAGCAGGAGCUUAAUCUUAAAUCCAGAUGAGUCACCAGCUGGAACAUUUGCCAAGUCACUUUGGAUGAAUUGGGAUGGGCUCGAAGAACAGUAUGCUAAAAGAACAUGAUAAAAAAAAAAAAAGAUCUGAUAAAACAUACGUUCCCCAAAAUAUCAAUCACGAUAGAACUUUUUUGACACGAGCAAAGUGGUUUUGCUCACUGUGGAUUCUUAGAGCUGCAAAAUACGAUAAAAGAGUUGUUUUGUCACAACUUUAUUGGCAACACUGAAUUCCUUUAGUGUACCAAGAUGAGCAAAAUAGACCCAGAUCAAUUUACGUUGGCGAACAUGUUCGUUUUCUUCCUUAGUUUUUCUUCUCUAAUUAUUGAGGAUUUUACCAUGUGUAAAACAGCCAUCCAUCCUUUGGCUUCCCUUGGCCUCAGGCCAACAUAGUACCGUCAUCAGCCAUUGAAUGAAUAAUGCGAGAUUAGCAAGUUCGUGUCAACAUUUCGUUAGCAGAAUUAUCAAGUGCAGAUUUGGGGUAUUUAGUUAAAAAAAAGUUAUUUAAGUCAAGUCAAGAGGCCAAUGCAUGUGUGCGAGCGUGAAUGAGGGAGUGUGAGAGAAACGGUGUGUGUCGGUGUUCACAGUGUCUGUUAGAUAACAAGCAUGUGUAAGUCCCAGUAAAAGGAAACUGGGCACUGUAAUAGCUUAAUCCAUUAAAUGAAAUGGCGACAUACAUACUCAUUUAUAUCCCAAAAAGCAUAUGGAUUAGUGUUUUUGUGUAAUUUGGCUUCC
This is a long non-coding RNA of Mugil cephalus (flathead mullet), 1119 nucleotides long. RefSeq lists it as uncharacterized. NCBI's taxonomy places the organism in Eukaryota, Metazoa, Chordata, Actinopteri, Mugiliformes, Mugilidae. The record is from RefSeq and is a predicted model, not a curated record. The transcript has 3 exons.